GUUAGGAAUUUUGGGCAAUGGGCGAAAGCCUGACCCAGCAACGCCGCGUGGGUGAUGAAGGCCUUAGGGUUGUAAAGCCCUUUUCCAGGGGAAGAUGAUGACGGUACCCUGGGAAUAAGCCCCGGCUAACUACGUGCCAGCAGCCGCGGUAAUACGUAGGGGGCAAGCGUUGUCCGGAUUUAUUGGGCGUAAAGCGCGUGUAGGCGGCAAGGUGUGUCGUGCGUGAAAUCUCCCGGCUUAACUGGGAGGGGCCGUGCGAAACUGCCUCGCUUGAGGUCGGAAGGGGAAAGUGGAAUUCCGGGUGUAGUGGUGGAAUACGUAGAUAUCCGGAGGAACACCAGCGGCGAAGGCGGCUUUCUGGUCCGAUUCUGACGCUGAGACGCGAAAGCGUGGGGAGCGAUCCGGAUUAGAAACCCUGGUAGUCC
Molecule: ribosomal RNA, 425 nt
Filed under: uncultured bacterium
Lineage: Bacteria
Description: bacterial SSU rRNA
Rfam family: Bacterial small subunit ribosomal RNA
Source: RNAcentral